CAGUCGCCGCGGUAAUACGUAGGUGGCGAGCGUUGUCCGGAAUUAUUGGGCGUAAAGGGAGCGCAGGCGGACGAGUAAGUCUUUCUUAAAAGUGCGGGGCUCAACCCCGUGAGGGGAGAAACUACUCAUCUUGAGUGCAGGAGAGGAAAGCGGAAUUCCUAGUGUAGCGGUGAAAUGCGCAGAUAUUAGGAAGAACACCAGUGGCGAAGGCGGCUUUCUGGACUGUAACUGACGCUGAGACUCGAAAGCCAGGGGAGCGAACGGGAUUAGAUACCCCUGUAGUCCCUGUCUCUUAUACACA
RNAcentral lists this ribosomal RNA (301 nucleotides) under uncultured bacterium. Its description in RNAcentral is "partial 16S ribosomal RNA". It matches the Rfam family "Bacterial small subunit ribosomal RNA", at positions 509 to 811 of the family's 1533-position model. The record is from RNAcentral.